UGAUUUUUUUAGUAUUUCGACAUCGCGAUUAGUAUUGUAAUAUUAUAAUUUUUUGUUGAGAAUCUUUUGAGAGAUUUUUGUAAAAAUUGAGAGUUAGAAACCGACUUGUUUUUAUAUUUUAAAAGUUGAUUUUGUAUGAUUUUCACGAGAGUUUUUUAGCCACUCUGGAUUAUCUUGGCUGCCGUUCAGGCAAGAAGAGCAGUAACUUAUCAUCUCACUAUUCCAACUAUCGUUCUAUUUUUCGGAUUUCCGAUAUAGAUGGAUUCCGUGUUAUCAAAAUUGGCAAACUAAUUUUUAUAUUCGUAUUGUAUUAUUUAGUCUAUGAAAUAAACUAUUGACAUAGUUGAGAUAAUAAAAAUAUUUUUGACACCUUCCUGUAGUGUAUAUUGAGACAUAUAUAUUUUUCACUAUUAAUAUUAUGUGAUAUUGUCUUGAAUGUCAAUAGAGAUGUUCGAAAAAAAAAAAAAGAAAAAAAGAAGAAAUAAAAGAUUAAAAAAAAAAGAGAAAAUCCCUCUCGUUUCAGAAAAAAAAAAAAAAAAAAAAAAAAAAAAAGAGGGGAAAAGGAAAAGAAAAAGUUAACCAAAAAAAAAAAAAAAAAAAAGAAAAGGAAAAAAAAAAAAAAGAAGGAAACAAACAAAAAAAAAGGAAAAAAAGAGAAAGAUGGGAAAGAAAGCCAAAAAAUAAUGAAUAAAAAUCUUUGUCAUUUCAAAAUAAAAUAAGGGAAGAUUUAACAAAUAGCUAUCAAAUACUUAAAUUCCUUAUAGAGCCUUAUAAGGAAUCGAUGAUAAUUCCCUUUUUAGAGGUUUAUUGAAUUUUGUUUCCAAAAUGAUACUGAUUCUUGGAUCCCUCAUAAAUUGGAGUCCAAGAUGUAAGUGGGUUUUUUUUUUGAGGAGGAACUAUGAAAGAAAAAAGAAGAAGUUGGGAGGAUAAAAAAGAGAAGCAGAACGAGAAUACAGAACAUGUCGAAGAAAAAAAAGAAGGUAAAAAAAAUAAAAUAAUAAUAAUUUUUCUUUUCUUUUUUUUUUCUCCCACGUGUGCCAAAAGCGACACUCCCCUCCCCCGCUCGUCACCAACCAAGGGAAGGGCUGUGUGUGCUCACAGCACACCCCCCCAACCCGUACAAGAGAAAGAAAGAAAGGCUCGGCUACUUUAUUUUGCCGGCGGCGGACGAACAAGUCGACGACAAACGGGUGACGACAUCUCGACAAAUGGCGCGCUAACGACUGACUUCGGCGACGCCGCAAAGGCCAUUUAGCGGCCUCUUUCAUUUUCUUUGUCUACGGACGGCGAGUGGUCAGUUUAUACGCGUAAACGAUAUAGUCGCGACUUUAAUGUCGGUUUGAUCAAUCACGACCGCGUCUCCGUGAUAGGUCGAUCCGAUCAAAAUCAUUUGACAUUCAAAUCGAUUACUAUACGUCAUGCCCCGAAGGUAUUCAUAUAAAGCCGCGUCUCCCCUUUUUCAACAUCAAAGAAAGAUGUGCGCCACGGAGCGACGCGACUGUGACGGACUCCUUGUAUCGGAUUGAUGAGGCGGCCCGUCUUCGGUGAUAGGCUCGAACACUUUCAAUCUGCGACAUUGGGGAUCGUUUGCCCUAUGGACGUAGAUCAUACCGUGAGCGGCCGUCUUCGUGAUAGGCUCGAGCGAACGGGCGUGAACUUUCGAUCUCGGCCGAAAAUGGAAAACAAAAAUAAAAUAAUAAAAAAAAAUGGAUAUACAAAUUUUUUCUGCCGUCGGCCGAGAUUCUGAUAGUUGACCCGAGUUCGGAUCAUAACCGGGUCGGGCCGUCUUCGUGAUAGGGCUUGACUCGGUGGUCGGAUCAUUAAACCGGGGUCGCCGUCUUCGUGGAUAGCUUGACUCGGGGGUUCGGAAUCAUUAAACCUGGGUCGCGUCUUCGUCGAUAGCUGGACUCGGAUUCGGUUAAUUAACGGGCGCCGUGUGAUAUGGCUUGUACCCGGUCCGGUUCGAAACAGUCUCUUGUGAUGAGCUGACGGCCGUCGGUUCCGGGUCGGCCGUCUCGUGAUAGGCUUGACCCGGGCGGAUCGGUUCAUUAAACCGGGUCGCCGUCUUCGUGAUAGGCUUGACUCGGGUUCGGAUCAUUAAACCGGGUCGCCGUCUUCGUGAUAGGCUUGACUCGGGUUCGGUUAAUUAAACCGGGUCGCCGUCUUCGCGAUAGGCUUGACCCGGGUUCGGUUAAUUAAACCGGGUCGUCGUCUUCGUGAUAGGCUUGACCCGAGUUCGGAUCAUUAAACCGGGUCGCCGUCUUCGUGAUAGGCUUGACUCGGGUUCGAUUAAUUAAACCGGGUCGCCGUCUUCGUGAUAGGCUUGACUCGGGUUCGGUUAAUUAAACCGGGUCGCCGUCUUCGUGAUAGGCUUGACCCGGGUUCGGUUCAUUAAACCGGGCCGCCGUCUUCGUGAUAGGCUUGACCCGAGUCCGACUAAUUAAACCGGGUCGCCGUCUUCGUGAUAGGCUUGACCCGAGUCGCCGUCUUCGUGAUAGGCUUGACCCGAGUUCGGUUCAAUUAAACCGGGUCGUCGUCUUCGUGAUAGACUAGACCCGAGUCAACUAAACCAUAAUGAUAAAUCAAAUUGGAUUAUAAGCCGAUCAAGUCUAAUCAAUAAGUCUAAUUGAACCAUUAAAGACAUUAACCAAACCAAAUCAAACUACAAGCUAGUUUGACUUGAACCAAACCAUGAAGGAUCCAACCCGAACUAAAAUGGGUCCGAUCCGAAUCAAACCACAAGGGAUUUGACUUAAACCGAAGCGGAUCCGAUCCAAGCUGAACCGAACCGGAUCCCGUCUGAACCAAAUUAUAAUGGAUUCAACUUGAUCCGAAGUGGAUCUAAUCCGGACAGAACCAUAAAGGAUUCAACUUGAACUAAAGUGAAUCCGAUCCAAUCCGAACCGAACCGGAUCCGAACUGAACCGAAUCAUAAAGGAUUCGACUUGAACCGAUGCUGAUCCGAUCCAAGUUGAACCGAACCGGAUCCCGUUUGAACCAAAUCAUAAUGGAUUUGACUUGAACUCGAACCGAAGCGAAUUCGAUCCGACUCGAACCUAAGUGGAUCCGAUCCGAACCAAGCCGGAAAGGAUCUGACUUGAACCGAACCGGAUCCGAAUCGAACCAGAUCCUGUCUGAACCGAACCGAACAUGAUCCAACUUGAACCAAAGUGAAUCCGAUCCAAUCCGAACCGAACCGGAUCCGAACUGAACCGAAUCAUAAAGGAUUCGACUUGAACCGAUGCUGAUCCGAUCCAAGUUGAACCGAACCGGAUCCCGUUUGAACCAAAUCAUAAUGGAUUUGACUUGAACUCGAACCGAAGCGAAUUCGAUCCGACUCGAACCUAAGUGGAUCCGAUCCGAACCAAGCCGGAAAGGAUCCGACUUGAACCGUACCGGAUCCGAAUCGGACCAGAUCCUGUCUGAACCGAACCGAACAGGAUCCAACUUGAACAAAAGUGAAUCCGAACUGAACCGAACCGAAUCCGGUCCGAACUAAACCAAAGUAAAUCCAAUCCAAUCAGAACCAUAAAGGAUCCAACUCGAACUGAAGUAGGUCCAAUCUGAACUGAACAGGAUCCAACUUGAACCGACUCGAGCUAAAUUCGGUUCAACCCGAUUAGGAUCCGACUCGAACUGAAGCGGGUCCAACCCGAACAGAACAAGAUCCGAUUUGAACCGACUUGAGUUGAAUUCGGUUCAAUCCGAUCAAGGUCCGACUCGAACCAAGGUCGGUCCGACCCGAAUCAAACUAUGAAGAAUCCGAUUCGAACCAAAUCAUGAAAGACCCGACUCGAAUCGAACCAUGAAGAAUCUGACUUGAACCGAACUAAAGCAUAACGGUUCAACUCAAACCAAGUNGAUAAAAAAGAGAAGCAGAAAGAAGAAUACAAACAGUGAAGAAAAAAAAAGAAGGUAAAAAAAAUAAUAAUAAUAAUAAUUUUUCUUUUCUUUUUUUUCUUCUCUCCACGUGUGCACACAAGGCGACACUCCCCUCCCCCGCUCGUCACCAACCAAGGGAAGGGGCUGUGGUGUGCUCACAGCACACCCCCCCAACCCGUACAAGAAAGAAGAAAGGCUCGGCUACUUUAUUUUGCGGCGGCGCGACGACAACGACGACAACGGUGACGACAUCGACAAUGGCGCGCUAACGACGACUUCGACGACGCGCAAAGAGGCCAUUUAGCGGCCUCUUUUCUUUUUCUUUUCUACGACGGCGAUGGGUAGUUGUAUACGCGUAAACGAUAUAGUCGCGAUUUUAUGUCGGUUUGAUCAACACGACCGUCUCCGUGAUAGGUCGAUCCGAUCAAAUUUGACAUUCAAUCGUUACUAUAUCAUGCGCGCGUAUUCAUUAAGCCCGUCUCCCUCAACAUCAAAAGAAAAGAUUGUGCGCACGAGCGACGCGACGGUGACGAUCCUUGUAUCGGAUUGAUUGAGCGGCCGUCUUCGUGAUAGGCUCGACACUUUCAAUCUCGACAUUGGAUCGUUGCCCUCAUCGGACGUAUGAUCAUACCGAGCGGCCGUCUUCGUGAUAGGCUCGACACGGUUGAACUUCGAUUCGGACCAAAAUGAGAACAACAAAAAUAAAAUAAUAAAAAAAAAUGAUAACAAAUAUUUUUCUCGGGUCGCCGUCUUCGUGAUAGGCUUGACCCGAGUUCGGAUCAUUAAACCGGGUCGCCGUCUUCGUGAUAGGCUUGACUCGGGUUCGGAUCAUUAAACCGGGUCGCCGUCUUCGUGAUAGGCUUGACUCGAGUUCGGUUUAUUAAACCGGGUCGCCGUCUUCGUGACAGGCUUGACCCGGGAUCGGUUAAUUAAACCGGGUCGCCGUCUUCGCGAUAGGCUUGACCCGGGUUCGGUUAAUUAAACCGGGUCGUCGUCUUCGUGAUAGGCUUGACCCGAGUUCGGUUCAUUAAACCGGGUUGCCGUCGUGAUAGGCCUGACUCGGGUUUGGAUCAUUAAAUCGGGUCGCCGUCUUCGCGAUAGGCUUGACCCGAGUUCGAUUCAUUAAACCGGGUUGCCGUCGUGAUAGGCCUGACUCGGGUUUGGAUCAUUAAAUCGGGUCGCCGUCUUCGCGAUAGGCUUGACCCGAGUUCAGUUCAUUAAACCGGGCCGCCGUCUUCGUGAUAGGCUUGACCCGAGUCCGACUAAUUAAACCGGGUCGCCGUCUUCGUGAUAGGCUUGACCCGAGUCGCCGUCUUCGUGAUAGGCUUGACCCGAGUUCGGUUCAAUUAAACCGGGUCGUCGUCUUCGUGAUAGACUAGACCCGAGUCAACUAAACCAUAAUGAUAAAUCAAAUUGGAUUAUAAGCCGAUCAAGUCUAAUCAAUAAGUCUAAUUGAACCAUUAAAGACAUUAACCAAACCAAAUCAAACUACAAGCUAGUUUGACUUGAACCAAACCAUGAAGGAUCCAACCCGAACUAAAAUGGGUCCGAUCCGAAUCAAACCACAAGGGAUUUGACUUAAACCGAAGCGGAUCCGAUCCAAGCUGAACCGAACCGGAUCCCGUCUGAACCAAAUUAUAAUGGAUUCAACUUGAUCCGAAGUGGAUCUAAUCCGGACAGAACCAUAAAGGAUUCAACUUGAACUAAAGUGAAUCCGAUCCAAUCCGAACCGAACCGGAUCCGAACUGAACCGAAUCAUAAAGGAUUCGACUNCUUAAGCGAAGCCAAGCUCAAGUUCAGUUUAGGUAAUACUAAACCAAGUUUGCCCUAGGCCAAGCCAAGUUGAACCUAGCCUAGUCGUAGCCAAGUUCAGCUUAGGAAAUACUAAGCCAAGUCAAGCCUAGGCCAAGCCAAGCCUAACCUAGCCUAAGUGAAACCAAGUUCAACCUAGUACAAGCCAAGCCAAGUCUGUCCUAGACCAAGCUAAGCCUAGGCCAAGCCAAGUUCAGUCUAGGAAAGGCCGAACCAAGCCUAGCCUAGGUGAAUCCAAGCUCAGCCUAGCUUAAGCGAAGCCAAGCUCAAGUUCAGUUUAGGUAAUACUAAACCAAGUUUGCCCUAGGCCAAGCCAAGUUGAACCUAGCCUAGUCGUAGCCAAGUUCAGCUUAGGAAAUACUAAGCCAAGUCAAGCCUAGGCCAAGCCAAGCCUAACCUAGCCUAAGUGAAAUCAAGUUCAACUUAGGAAAUACCAAGACAGGCCUAAUCUAGGUGAAGCCUAGUUCAACUUAGGUAAUAUUAAACCAAGUCUGCCCUAGGCCAAGCCAAGUCGAACCUAGCCUAGGCGAAGCCAAAUUCAGUUUAGGGAACACCAAACUAAGCCUAGCCUGGGUAAAAUCAAGCCCAACCUAGGAAGUACCAAACCAAGUUCAGUUUGAUCGAACAUCAAACUAAACCAAACCAAUUACAGAAAUUACCAAGUUAAUCUGAAUAACUAAUCUGAACUAGCCGAAUAUUAGGUUAAACUAAAUAGUAAUACCAAAUCAACUGAGCCCAGAUCAGAUAGUGCUUCUGCUGCUGGGCCAAAUUAACUUGGCUUGAGCCCAGUUCGGAUAGUGCUUCUGCCGCUGAGCCCAGUUCGGAUAGUGCUUCUGCCGCUGGGCCAAAUUAAUCAGCCUGAGCCCAGUUCGGAUAGUGCUUCUGCCGCCGGGCCAAAUUACUUGGCUUGGGCCCAGUUCGGAUAGUGCUUCUGCCGCUGGGCCAAAUUAAUUGGCUUGGGCUCAGUUCGGAUAGUGCUUCUGCCGCUGGGCCAAAUUAAUUAGCUUGGGCUCAGUUCGGAUAGUGCUUCUGCCGCUGGGCCAAAUUACUAGGCUUGAGCCCAGUUCGGAUAGUGCUUCUGCUGCUGGGCCAAAUUAAUUGGCUUGGGCCCAGUUCGGAUAGCGCUUCUGCCGCUGGGCCAAAUUAAUUGGCUUGGGCUCAGUUCGGAUAGUGCUUCUGCCGCUGGGCCAAAUUACUAGGCUUGGGCUCAGUUCGGAUAGUGCUUCUGCCGCUGGGCCAAAUUAGAUCCGACUCGAACCUAAGUGGAUCCGAUCCGAACCAAGCCGGAAAGGAUCCGACUUGAACCGUACCGGAUCCGAAUCGGACCAGAUCCUGUCUGAACCGAACCGAACAGGAUCCAACUUGAACAAAAGUGAAUCCGAACUGAACCGAACCGAAUCCGGUCCGAACUAAACCAAAGUAAAUCCAAUCCAAUCAGAACCAUAAAGGAUCCAACUCGAACUGAAGUAGGUCCAAUCUGAACUGAACAGGAUCCAACUUGAACCGACUCGAGCUAAAUUCGGUUCAACCCGAUUAGGAUCCGACUCGAACUGAAGCGGGUCCAACCCGAACAGAACAAGAUCCGAUUUGAACCGACUUGAGUUGAAUUCGGUUCAAUCCGAUCAAGGUCCGACUCGAACCAAGGUCGGUCCGACCCGAAUCAAACUAUGAAGAAUCCGAUUCGAACCAAAUCAUGAAAGACCCGACUCGAAUCGAACCAUGAAGAAUCUGACUUGAACCGAACUAAAGCAUAACGGUUCAACUCAAACCAAGUUUUGAUGGGUCCCGAACCUAAGCAUAACGGUUCAACCCAAACCAAGUCUUGAUGGGUUCCGAACCAAAGCAUAACGGUUCAGCCCAAACCAAACCUGAAAGGGGUAAACCAAAUGAAAACCUAAGGCGGUUCAUCCCAAAUCAAAUACAAGGGGUUUAAGCCAAUCCAAACCCAAAAUCCACAAAUAAAUCCCAAAACCCAAAAUCCACAAAUAAAUCCCAAAACCCAAAGUCCACAAAUCAAACCUCAAAAUCCAAAGCCUCUCAAAUCCAAAUGACCGAAAAGUCGUUAAACUAAACCCAAAUUCCAAACGACCGAAAUGUCGCUAAACUAAACCCAAAUUCAAACGACCGAAAUGUCGCUAAACUAAACCCAUAUUCAAACGACCGAAAUGUCGCUAAACUAAACCCAAAUUCAAACGACCGAAAUGUCGCUAAACUAAACCCGAAUUCAAACGACCGAAAUGUCGCUAAACUAAACCCGAAUUCAAACGACCGAAAAGUCGUUAAACUAAACCCAAAUUUCAAACGACCGAAAAGUCGUUAAACUAAAUCCAAAUUUCAAACGACCGAAAAGUCGUUAAACUAAACCCAAACCCAUGAACCAUAUCCAAGUUCAUGAACCAAAUCCAUACACCAAACCCAUGAACCAUAUCCAAGUUUAUGAACCAAAUUCAUACACCAAAUCCAUGAACCAUAUCCAAGUUCAUAAACCAAAUCCAUACACCAAACCCGUGAACCAUAUCCAAGUUCAUGAAUCAAAUCCAUACACCAAACCCAUGAACCAUAUUCAAGUUCAUGAACCAAAUCCAUACACCGAAUUCAUGAACCAUAUCCAAGUUCAUGAACCAAAUCCAUAUACCAAAUCCAUGAACCAUAUCUAAGUUCAUAAACCAAGUUCAUACACCAAAUUCAUGAACCAUAUCCAAAUUCAUGAACCAAACCUCAUGAACCAAUACCCAAAUCUCAUCGUGAACCUUUUUUUACUCUGGCACAUAUACCUAGGGUAAAAAUUAAAUAUCGACUACCCCUAAUACAUAUACUUAGGGCUAUGUCAACCGUCUUAGCACAUAUAACUAAGGCGAAACAUCUCCAAAUUGACAGAGUUCUAAGACAUAUACUUAGAAUUCGGUCGAAUGAUAUCAACUUCAUUCGGACUCUAAUACAUAUACUUAGAGUUCAUCCGGCUAGCCCUAAUACAUAUACUUGGGGUCUAGUCAACCUUCUGCUCUAGCACAUAUACCUAGAGUGGAAGUCAAACCGUGCUCGACUAGUCCUAACCCAUAUACUUAGGGUCUAGUUAGCCUUUUGCUCUAGCACAUAUACCUAGAGUGAUAUCCUUACCCGAUCGAGCUUUAAUACAUAUACUUAGAGCUCAAAUCCGACUACCCCUAAUACAUAUACUUAGGGCUUAGUCAGACCUUCAUUCUAGCACAUAUAACUAGAGUGAAACUCGGUUAAUCCUGAUACAUAUACUCGGGAAUUAGCCACUCUCCACUUUCGGGUAAUUCGACCCACCUCAAUACAUAUACUUGAGGUCUGGUCACAUCUCCACCUUGGAACAUACAACCAAGGUGAAUAUAAUCGGACUCUAAGACAUAUACUUAGAGCCAGUUAGACUCUAAUACAUGGAGUUUAAUAUCGACUAGAUCUUAACACAUAUACUUAGGAUCUAGUUCGACCCACCUCAAUACAUAUACUUGAGGUCUGGUCACAUCCCCAUCUUGGAACAUAUAACCAAGGUGGACGUAAUCGGACUCUAAGACAUAUACUUAGAGCCAAUUAGACUCUAAUACACAGAGUCUAAUAUUGACUAGGUUUUAAUACAUAUACUUAGGACCUAGUCAAUCUCAAAUCCAACUGAAUCCUAAUACAUACACUUAGGAUUCAAUUUAUGUACAGUGGGGGUAUGCCCCUGCUUAAGCCAUGUAAACGGCAAAUCAUAUCAAUAAAAUUUUAUUUGCCUGUUUUGUCUCUUUUAUUAUCAGCAUUUAUAUUUGGUCUCUUAAUCGAGGGUUCCUUAACACCGAAGGUGUGGGGUAAUUAACAGCAGAUUCUUGAGUCUGUUGGAAGCCAUGAACCUAUAAUCCUGAUAUCAAAAUAAAACAUAAACAAAUUUUAUCUCUACCAUGAAUGACCACUCGCCCUAGAAACAACCUACGGCGGGGCCGGUUCGUUCGCGGCAGACAAGAGAGUGAGAGUGAGAGUGAUAGAUAAUGUGAGACUAUAACUAUAUUUGUGACAUUGUGAUAGUAUUAUCACGAUCUAUUUGAUCAUCGCAUU
RNAcentral lists this long non-coding RNA (9750 nucleotides) under Ananas comosus (pineapple). RNAcentral describes it as "long non-coding RNA (ACOM_LNC042814)". Lineage: Eukaryota; Viridiplantae; Streptophyta; Magnoliopsida; Poales; Bromeliaceae. The record is from RNAcentral.